UAGUACGGCGAGUGAAGCGGCAACAGCUCAAAUUUGAAAUCUGGCUCUUUCAGAGUCCGAGUUGUAAUUUGCAGAGGGCGCUUUGGCUUUGGCAGCGGUCCAAGUUCCUUGGAACAGGACGUCACAGAGGGUGAGAAUCCCGUACGUGGUCGCUAGCUAUUGCCGUGUAAAGCCCCUUCGACGAGUCGAGUUGUUUGGGAAUGCAGCUCUAAAUGGGAGGUAAAUUUCUUCUAAAGCUAAAUAUUGGCCAGAGACCGAUAGCGCACAAGUAGAGUGAUCGAAAGAUGAAAAGCACUUUGGAAAGAGAGUCAAACAGCACGUGAAAUUGUUGAAAGGGAAGCGCUUGCAGCCAGACUUGCUUGCAGUUGCUCAUCCGGGCUUUUGCCCGGUGCACUCUUCUGUAGGCAGGCCAGCAUCAGUUUGGGCGGUGGGAUAAAGGUCUCUGUCACGUACCUCUCUUCGGGGAGGCCUUAUAGGGGAGACGACAUACCACCAGCCUAGACUGAGGUCCGCGCAUCUGCUAGGAUGCUGGCGUAAUGGCUGUAAGCGGCCCGUCUUGA
Molecule: ribosomal RNA, 560 nt
Filed under: Bipolaris sp.
Lineage: Eukaryota; Fungi; Ascomycota; Dothideomycetes; Pleosporales; Pleosporaceae
Description: LSU rRNA
Rfam family: Eukaryotic large subunit ribosomal RNA
Source: RNAcentral